RNAcentral lists this ribosomal RNA (492 nucleotides) under uncultured bacterium. RNAcentral's name for it is "partial 16S ribosomal RNA". It matches the Rfam family "Bacterial small subunit ribosomal RNA", at positions 29 to 507 of the family's 1533-position model. The record is from RNAcentral.
AGUGAACGCUGGCGGUAGGCCUAACACAUGCAAGUCGAACGGCAGCACAGUAAGAGCUUGCUCUUACGGGUGGCGAGUGGCGGACGGGUGAGGAAUACAUCGGAAUCUACUUUUUCGUGGGGGAUAACGUAGGGAAACUUACGCUAAUACCGCAUACGACCUACGGGUGAAAGCAGGGGAUCUUCGGACCUUGCGCGAUUGAAUGAGCCGAUGUCGGAUUAGCUAGUUGGCGGGGUAAAGGCCCACCAAGGCGACGAUCCGUAGCUGGUCUGAGAGGAUGAUCAGCCACACUGGAACUGCGACACGGUCCAGACUCCUACGGGAGGCAGCAGUGGGGAAUAUUGGACAAUGGGCGCAAGCCUGAUCCAGCCAUACCGCGUGGGUGCAGAAGGCCUUCGGGUUGUAAAGCCCUUUUGUUGGGAAAGAACAGCAGCAGGUUAAUACCCCGCUGUUCUGACGGUACCCAAAGAAUAAGCACCGGCUAACUUCGUG